CCUCUUGGCCUGGAUGUGAAUCCCCACCCUUUUCUUGAUGGACUUGAGGGCGCGUUUGUCCUUGGAAACCCUGAGCAGCUCUAUGGCUCAUCAUUGUAGAGG
Molecule: long non-coding RNA, 102 nt
Organism: Octodon degus (degu)
Lineage: Eukaryota; Metazoa; Chordata; Mammalia; Rodentia; Octodontidae
Exons: 3
Source: RefSeq, a predicted model, not a curated record